Molecule: long non-coding RNA, 349 nt
Filed under: Capsicum annuum
Lineage: Eukaryota; Viridiplantae; Streptophyta; Magnoliopsida; Solanales; Solanaceae
Description: long non-coding RNA (CANN_LNC018437)
Source: RNAcentral
AAAUUUACUUAUGCUUUAUUCUUCUCACACUUUACUACAUACAUUUUAUCCUCUUUAAAUCUCAUUAUGCCAUUUUACCCUCUUUAAACAUCACUGUAUAUUAAAAUCACGAUUGAAGCAGCUGAAGCAGAAAUCAGUUAAUUUUUAAAUUUUUUUUGUUAAUUAUUGUUAUUUACAAUACUUUUUAUUUCAAAUAUCUAUGAACUUAGCUUGGACUUAAUCCGCAUUCGCCUCUGUAGCUCUUCUAUAAGAGUGGACCUUUUUCUUUCCAAAUAAUAUAUGUUGCUUUAUAUCUUCUUCUGUUUUGUCCCAAUUUAUGUGGCACUAAUAUAAUUUUGAUAGUCAAUCA